CUUUUUCUUCUUUGCUGAUUUUCCUUUAUCUCUUUGGUGCUGUCAUUGUUGAUCUUCUUGUUUCUUUCAUUUCCAACAAGUUCUUGUUGGGGAAAAGUAGUGUCGAUUGGAUCGAAGACUUGGAGAGUUGUUUCGGUACCUUAGGUAUGUAUAAUUGGAGAAAAAUGGUUCAUCAUUUGUUGGUGGCCAUUUGGUUAGCGUUUGGGGUUGAAUCGCGUGGUUGCACCAUCGAGGACUUCGACGUGGAUGUAUCAUACGAAGGACUUAUCAGUUUGCCCGUGCUACCUACAAUGCACACAACACUAAGGGAUGUCAUAUUCACGAUCCCGCUCUCCGCUAUAUACACAAGUUCCUUGCAUAUAAUUAUUAUGGGUGUAAUCACAUUACAUCCUAGCUAAGUAAGGUUGAAUUAUUUUUCUCAUGGUGUAUGUAAACCGGUGUGAAGGUAAAUUUGGGUUUUUGGUUUAAGCACGCCUUCGAGUGUGUUUUGCGUUCUGAUCGUCCAUUAAUUCUCAGACCUUACAUUACUCACCUUGCAUCACAUUUAUUUCCGCUAAUGUUUAAUUCUAAUCAAUUUACUUAUGCUUUUUACAAUGGAUCCUUUUCAUGCUAGGUGUUUGGACUCGAUGGGACUUCUCGCCGGAACUCCUAGUGCGCCACACAUUGUCCCUUCUGGCACAAUUACCCCACUCAAUGAACGCGUAUUUCUUCGGAGGACUACUUAAUCCAUGGAACCAGAAGAGUAUCCCCCUUCGGACUUGCAUAACAAAAUCCAUGAGAUGCAUGGUCAGCUAGACUUCUUUGAGACCAACAUUGUCGAGAUACAUUUGUACCUUCACCGAUACCCUAUAGACGUGGCCAAGGCCGCGAUCGACAUUGAUCGAGGAGUAUCUUAACCCUCUCUCUUUUGCAUCUUACUUUUUAUUGUUCAUAUUGGGGCGAUAUGAUUUUAAGUGAGGGGGUGGAAUUGGAAAUCAAAUUAUCCUUUGCUUAUUAUUUGAUUGAAAUUGAGUUAUUUCUUGACUUGAA
This is a long non-coding RNA of Hibiscus syriacus, 1029 nucleotides long. RefSeq lists it as uncharacterized. The record is from RefSeq and is a predicted model, not a curated record. The transcript is spliced from 4 exons. NCBI's taxonomy places the organism in Eukaryota, Viridiplantae, Streptophyta, Magnoliopsida, Malvales, Malvaceae.